UAAAUAUCUACAUCUUAAGAUCUUGCCUGGCUGGCAAAGCCACCUGUCUUUGUGCUCUUGUUAAAUAGUUCACACAAGAGCUUCCAUUGGUGGCUGCUUUGUGACAGAAGGAAAUGAAUUGGUGUGUUCCUCUGAAAUCCCUCUGGGCUGGUGCAGAUGCUGUAGGCUGACUGGUAGCUCCAGCACACAGGGUAAGGGUUCAUUAUUUGUAAUACAUGUAAACAACCCUCUCAGUGCUCUGAGGCAGCUCCACGGUGUAAUUGCUAGAUCACUUGCAUCCUCCUUUUUCUGCUUCAUCUGUAAUUUAAAUUAUUAUAUAGAAGGAUUUGUC
This 331-nucleotide long non-coding RNA is filed under the name Junco hyemalis (dark-eyed junco). RNAcentral describes it as "lncRNA (ENSJHYG00000015364.1)". Lineage: Eukaryota; Metazoa; Chordata; Aves; Passeriformes; Passerellidae. The record is from RNAcentral.